AAACAGAGAGUACACAGCAGUCAGUCAUUCAUCCACCAUUUACUGACUAUGACGUGCUCGUGUUGAAUUGUAGCAGUAACAUCUUAAAAUAACGUUCUAAAGAAAAUGGACACAAUUCAUUGGAUAUCAAUCAACAAAGAGGUAUACAGAGGAGGAGACAUACAAAUGUAUGUCAAUUGGUAUUGGUAUGUUAUGCAGAUCACAUUUACCAUCCUCCUCCCUUACCUCUUCAAUAAAUAUCCCAUAGGCCUCUACAUUAUGGACAAGGAAACCUGUUUGAUCCCCAUGCAAUGCAAAAUCCUUCUGGCUAUGGAUACGGAGAACAUCAACACGCCAGAGGAUAUACCCAUAGGACUUGGGGCUCUGCUGGGAGUUUAGCUCUUAUUUAGAUUUUUUUAUUCUGC
Long non-coding RNA from Oncorhynchus masou masou (cherry salmon), 404 nucleotides. RefSeq lists it as uncharacterized. The transcript is spliced from 4 exons. NCBI's taxonomy places the organism in Eukaryota, Metazoa, Chordata, Actinopteri, Salmoniformes, Salmonidae. The record is from RefSeq and is a predicted model, not a curated record.